RNAcentral lists this ribosomal RNA (537 nucleotides) under Chirocentrus nudus (whitefin wolf-herring). RNAcentral's name for it is "partial 16S ribosomal RNA". It matches the Rfam family "Bacterial large subunit ribosomal RNA", at positions 589 to 1343 of the family's 2925-position model. Lineage: Eukaryota; Metazoa; Chordata; Actinopteri; Clupeiformes; Chirocentridae. The record is from RNAcentral.
AGAUUUGUCCUCGUACCUUUUGCAUCAUGAUCUAGCUAGCACCCCCAGGCAAAGAGACCUCUAGUCUGACACCCCGAAACCGGACGAGCUACCCCGGGACAGCUUACAAGAGCCAACCCGUCUCUGUGGCAAAAGAGUGGGAAGAUCCCCCGGUAGAGGUGAAAUGCCUACCGAGUCAGGUUAUAGCUGGUUACCUAGGAAACGAAUAGAAGUUCAGCCCUGCCUUCUCCCCCACCAAUAAAGCCAAGCUAAGCAAGGAUACGGGACCCAGCAGGAGUUAGUUGAGAGAGGUACAGCUCUCCCAACAAAGGACACAACCUCUAUCAGGAGGCUAAGGAAUAUAAUUCAGAAGUUAGGGGCCGCAGUGGGCCCAAAGGCAGCCACCUGGAAAGAAAGCGUUAAAGCUCAGACCCUCACCUAGACUAUUAUUACAUUAAGCACCCCCACGCCCCUAAUCCUACUAGGCCGCCCCAUGCGCCCAUGGGAGAGACCAUGCUAGAACGAGUAACAAGAAGAAUGAACUUCUCCCAGCACACG